This 249-nucleotide ribosomal RNA is filed under the name uncultured marine eukaryote. Its description in RNAcentral is "partial 18S ribosomal RNA". It matches the Rfam family "Eukaryotic small subunit ribosomal RNA", at positions 1189 to 1456 of the family's 1831-position model. The record is from RNAcentral.
CUUAAUUGACUCAACGCGGGACAACUCACCAGGCCCGGACACCGUAAGGAUUGACAGACUGAUAGCUCUCUCUUGAUUCAGUGGGUGGUGGUGCAUGGCCGUUCUUAGUUGGUGGAGUGAUUUGUCUGGUUUAUUCCGAUAACGAACGAGACUCUGGCCUAUUAAACUUGACACUGUCAGUCUCUUGUGACUGCGGUGCGCUUCUUAGAGGGAUCAUCGGCGUCCCAGCCGAAGGAAAGGGAGCAAUAA